RNAcentral lists this transfer RNA (63 nucleotides) under Cricetulus griseus (Chinese hamster). It matches the Rfam family "tRNA", at positions 6 to 65 of the family's 71-position model. Rfam says of the family: Transfer RNA (tRNA) molecules are approximately 80 nucleotides in length. Their secondary structure includes four short double-helical elements and three loops (D, anti-codon, and T loops). Lineage: Eukaryota; Metazoa; Chordata; Mammalia; Rodentia; Cricetidae. The record is from Rfam by way of RNAcentral.
UGUGGCUCAGCUGGUAAAGAGCACUUGACUGGUGUUCAUGAGGCUCUGGGUUCCAUUCCAGCA